UAGGGAAUCUUCCGCAAUGGACGCAAGUCUGACGGAGCAACGCCGCGUGAGUGAAGAAGGAUUUCGGUUCGUAAAACUCUGUUGUUAGCGAAGAACAGCGCAUAGAGUAACUGUUAUGCGUGUGACGGUACCUAACCAGAAAGCCACGGCUCACUACGUGCCAGCAGCCGCGGUAAUACGUAGGUGGCAAGCGUUGUCCGGAUUUAUUGGGCGUAAAGCGAGCGCAGGCGGUCAAUUAAGUCUGAUGUGAAAGCCCCCGGCUCAACCUGGGAGUGGUAGUGGAGACGGGUUGACUUGAGUGCAGAAGAGGAGAGUGGAACUCCAUGUGUAGCGGUGAAAUGAGUAGAUAUAAGGAGGAACGCCAGUGGCGAAGGCGACUCUGUAGUCUGUAACUGACGAUGAGGUUCGAAAGCGUGGGUAGCAAACAGG
RNAcentral lists this ribosomal RNA (429 nucleotides) under Bacteroidota bacterium. Its description in RNAcentral is "Bacteroidetes bacterium partial 16S ribosomal RNA". It matches the Rfam family "Bacterial small subunit ribosomal RNA", at positions 355 to 776 of the family's 1533-position model. Lineage: Bacteria; Pseudomonadati; Bacteroidota. The record is from RNAcentral.